UGUUCAUUUUGCUUUGUAAACGUUUUGCUAUUUUCUUUCUUUGGGAAUUUAACUUUUAGCAUUUUGGGUACGCAAUAUUACUAAGAUAUUAUGCCACCCCCAAGACCGAGGGGAGUGGGAUAUAAUACAGGAGUCACAACAUCUAGGCCCAGCCCGAAUACACCGAUGUCUGAGAGACAGCAAAUGGCACUGCUUAUUCAGAUGACGGCGAACUCGACGACAGAGGCCUCAAGAGCGCAC
This 240-nucleotide long non-coding RNA is filed under the name Rhagoletis pomonella (apple maggot). RNAcentral's name for it is "uncharacterized LOC118752799, transcript variant X1". Lineage: Eukaryota; Metazoa; Arthropoda; Insecta; Diptera; Tephritidae. The record is from RNAcentral.